Molecule: long non-coding RNA, 1839 nt
Organism: Drosophila pseudoobscura
Lineage: Eukaryota; Metazoa; Arthropoda; Insecta; Diptera; Drosophilidae
Exons: 6
Source: RefSeq, a predicted model, not a curated record
UCAAUUUGUCUUCAUUAUUGCAUUUUUCUAGCCGCCUUUUCAUCGACGAAAAUAAGAAUAUAUCUGUUUCAUCGAAAUCACCGAUAGUACCCUUGAUGGUUGUCUUUGACACUUCUAACUGUAUGAAUUGCGAACACACACACAGAAUGCCAGAGCUCGUGAUCAUGAUAAUCUUGGUCCUCGUAGCCUUUGCUUGGAUUGGAGCAAACGUCAACAAUCUUCUGUUGAUGUACUUGGCCGCUCUUCUCAUUGCCAUUUGGACUGGUCUGCAUGGUAAACACGUCAAGAUCAUCAGCCGGAAAACUGUAUGCGGCAAACCGAAGCUGCAGUAGAGAGCCGAUCGCUUCUUAUACACCACAUACAUAAGAUCAUCGACUUGCCAUCAUAUGUGCCGAAAUAAACUAGAGAUUGUUGUUAUACUUUGCUCAUCGACACUAUGCCACUGCUACAUUCGAAGGAUGCGAAUAUAUUCUCCAGGGAGACUGUAGCGAUUCUGCAGCACUUGGAUAUGAAGCGAACCUAGAACGAAUGUUUCCGCUCAACAACAACCACUUAACAAUUACUUAUUACUAAUUACAUACAGGCUUCGAUCCAUUCAAUUUUGAAAUUCAAUAAAACGCAAAAUCGCUAAAAUUCCACGAACUAAAACAUGGUGUACGGGUCUUAUGACUAGCAACUAAUAUUCAGAAUGGCUCGUAUGUAUAUGAACAUGGUAUAUGAAUAAUGAAGAUAUGUAUGAUUUCCUGUCAUGGAUUUUGUACAUUUUUUUAUUUGAGUCGCUGGACCUCAUAAAGAGCUUUCGAAUGCAUUGAAUUUCAAUUGUUUAUGAAUAAAAUGUACAAAUAACACAAGCAGCAGGUUGACGAAGACUGACUCAAGUGUUGCAGCAUGCGUACAAGCUGGUACAGAAUCGUGCGUUACCCAACACUGGUGGCGGAUGGCUCUGGAACUUUCUGGAAGAUAUUGGUAAAAGAAGAAAUCGAUUGAGUGUCCACAUUUGACGACCCAUUGGCCAACCGUUUGUGUGUUCCUCACCGGGCUCAAUAAAAGCGCCCAUUGCCCACCAUCACGUCAACUGGAACCCACGAGAUGUCUUCAAUGAAACAGCUAAGCAGCUAUUUUGCCAUUUUGCGAAGCUGCUGAAUGUUAAAGAUUUAGUUGCCAGAGGUCCAGACGGAUGAAGUGCGCCUGUCACGCGCAGCCGUUGCUCAGCUCAUGGCGCGGAGCCACCGCUUUUCUACAGAUUGCUGAAGACGCUAUGGAGAAAAGCAUUGCAAUCUCGCAGCUCAUGGCUUAUAAUAUAAAGCUGUUCAUGUAUGAUACCCAGAAGAACAACUUUAUCCAUUGGCACACAUUUGAUCGAUACAUAAAGGACUAAAGGAACAUUGAUCUAUCGGUACAGCGUCCAUCAAUGAUAUACGGGAAUGGCAGCUCCCAGGAGAAACUCAACAAGAUAUUUCCCACUCUAAAAAGGAUCCGAGUCAGUCGCAUAAUGAUAGACUUGUGCGGGGAAAUCCAAAGGAAUGGUAAUCAAAGAUUUUUGCCAGUCUUAUGGCAGCUGGGAAAUGAUUACAUGGACUGUUGCAAGCGUGGAGCUGCUUUGGUAUACCCUUGCCAGACAGAGAGGCCUGACUGAUUAAAAGCCAGAAAGCAGGAGACGCUCUUAGGAUGCUGUGUUGGUCACAGGAAUACCUGAAAGUAUGCCGAAGGUGGCCAUAGGCCAAACCUCUUUCGGCCAUCGAAAUCGAUGUUGUGUAGAAGCAAAGGCUAUAGACUAUAGGUCAAACGCAUAAAACCCAAAUUUAAUAAAAAAGGCACCGUCAAUGUCUUAAAACAGUC